UAAGGCCCUGGGCAACUUGAUCUAGCUGUGGUAUCCCUGCUCACUGCAGUGGAGUUGGACUAGAUGCCCUUCAGAGGUUCCUUUCAACUCUAAGGAUUCUAUGAUUUUAAAACUCAACAUGAGAAUCCAGUUCUCCACCUGUUCAGUUAAAGAGCUGAACUGUAGAUUCGUGAGUAAGGUUUAAUGCUUUCAUUUUCGUGUUUUAGUGAUUCUUACAAAAACAGACAUAAAAUUGCAUUUCAGUAGGACCCUAGCUAUUACUUGCAGAUUAUUUUCCCUUACUUUAAAUCGUAUUUAUUCUUUGAGACACUAUAGUCUCUCUGUCAUCAGAUAUAGUAAAGCUAAGUUCAAGCAGAGCACGAAAGAGGCAAGUUUGAAUCAGAAGGAGAAGAAAACCAGUAAGUCCUCAGGCCAGGAUAUCAGGAAGCCAUGCCAAGAAUAUGAACAUUUUCUAUGCUGAUGCUUUCAUUGAUAUCUACAAAGAAAAAAUAUAAUGAAAAAACUUUGAUGAAAGUCAGUAUACCUACUCACAGCCAAUGACUGAUAAAAGGAUGACAAACAUCAUAUAAGCACACAGAUACCAGACAUGAGGACUUCUUAUGUAGUCAGGCAUGCAAACUAUGCAUGCUCAAUAAGAGAUCAGCCAGAGGCCUGCAAUACCUAUGAGACCUUGCUACAUGAGUACUGCAGAGAUACUGCCAAGAAGACUUUGGAAUCAUAACUGUAGCCCAUAAUUGGAUGCAUCAAGAAGAUCCUGAUCAUUGGCUCAAACUCAGUAUUGCAAAGGCUCCUUCCCCCUGUGCAGAGCCCAGACUCAGAAAUGCUUGCCAAAAAUUCAAAGAACUACAAAAAGGAGAGGUGUUGCUGCUUCAGCAGAUGCCAGGAAGCUGUAUGCUUGUCAGGCACCAUAUGGAGACUCCCAGAAGCAGAGGACUCUCGACUUCUCAACUUUUAUUGCCUUUCCAGAGUUUCAGAGCCAAAAGAUGUAGCAACACAUGUGCUAGCUCCAACAUUUCCAUUUCCAUUCCAGUCCAGCCCAGCUUCUGAGGAUGUUAAGUACAUGGCCUCUUUCAGACUUCUGAAUUAAAAAGAGUAUUUGAAUAAAGC
This 1107-nucleotide long non-coding RNA is filed under the name Coturnix japonica (Japanese quail). RNAcentral describes it as "lncRNA (ENSCJPG00005004722.1)". The record is from RNAcentral. Lineage: Eukaryota; Metazoa; Chordata; Aves; Galliformes; Phasianidae.